This 528-nucleotide ribosomal RNA is filed under the name Salmonella enterica subsp. enterica serovar Heidelberg. RNAcentral's name for it is "partial 23S ribosomal RNA". It matches the Rfam family "Bacterial large subunit ribosomal RNA", at positions 1 to 559 of the family's 2925-position model. Lineage: Bacteria; Pseudomonadati; Pseudomonadota; Gammaproteobacteria; Enterobacterales; Enterobacteriaceae. The record is from RNAcentral.
GGGUUGUGAGGUUAAGCGACUAAGCGUACACGGUGGAUGCCUUGGCAGUCAGAGGCGAUGAAGGGCGUGCUAAUCUGCGAUAAGCGCCGGUAAGGUGAUAUGAACCGUUAUAACCGGCGAUACCCGAAUGGGGAAACCCAGUGUGACUCGUCACACUAUCAUUAACUGAAUCCAUAGGUUAAUGAGGCGAACCGGGGGAACUGAAACAUCUAAGUACCCCGAGGAAAAGAAAUCAACCGAGAUUCCCCCAGUAGCGGCGAGCGAACGGGGAGGAGCCCAGAGCCUGAAUCAGCAUGUGUGUUAGUGGAAGCGUCUGGAAAGGCGCGCGAUACAGGGUGACAGCCCCGUACACAAAAGCGCAUGUGCUGUGAGCUCGAUGAGUAGGGCGGGACACGUGGUAUCCUGUCUGAAUAUGGGGGGACCAUCCUCCAAGGCUAAAUACUCCUGACUGACCGAUAGUGAACCAGUACCGUGAGGGAAAGGCGAAAAGAACCCCGGCGAGGGGAGUGAAAAAGAACCUGAAACCGU